This 1122-nucleotide ribosomal RNA is filed under the name Zanclospora lateriphiala. RNAcentral's name for it is "partial large subunit ribosomal RNA". It matches the Rfam family "Eukaryotic large subunit ribosomal RNA", at positions 1 to 1155 of the family's 3401-position model. Lineage: Eukaryota; Fungi; Ascomycota; Sordariomycetes; Chaetosphaeriales; Chaetosphaeriaceae. The record is from RNAcentral.
UUGACCUCGGAUCAGGUAGGAAUACCCGCUGAACUUAAGCAUAUCAAUAAGCGGAGGAAAAGAAACCAACAGGGAUUGCCUCAGUAACGGCGAGUGAAGCGGCAACAGCUCAAAUUUGAAAUCUGGCCCCAGGCCCGAGUUGUAAUUUGCAGAGGAUGCUUCGGGCGCGGCGCCUCCCAAGUCCCCUGGAACGGGGCGCCUGAGAGGGUGAGAGCCCCGUACGGUUGGAUGCCUAGCCCUUGUGAAGCUCCUUCGACGAGUCGAGUAGUUUGGGAAUGCUGCUCAAAACGGGAGGUAGACCCCUUCUAAAGCUAAAUACCGGCCAGAGACCGAUAGCGCACAAGUAGAGUGAUCGAAAGAUGAAAAGCACUUUGAAAAGAGGGUUAAACAGCACGUGAAAUUGUUGAAAGGGAAGCGCUCGUGACCAGACUUGCGCCGGGGCGAUCAUCCGGCGUUCUCGCCGGUGCACUCGCCCCGGCUCAGGCCAGCGUCGGUUUGGGCGGGGGGAGAAAUGCGCUGGGAAUGUGACUCCCCCGGGAGUGUUAUAGCCCAGCGCGUCAUGUCCCCGCCCGGACCGAGGUUCGCGCUCUGCAAGGACGCUGGCGUAAUGGUCACCAGCGGCCCGUCUUGAAACACGGACCAAGGAGUCGAGGUUCUGCGCGAGUGUCUGGGUGUCAAACCCGCACGCGCAAUGAAAGUGAACGCAGGUGGGAGCCUCGGCGCACCACCGACCGAUCCUGAUGUUCUCGGAUGGAUUUGAGUAGGAGCGUAGGGCCUCGGACCCGAAAGAUGGUGAACUAUGCUUGGAUAGGGUGAAGCCAGAGGAAACUCUGGUGGAGGCUCGCAGCGGUUCUGACGUGCAAAUCGAUCGUCAAAUCUGAGCAUGGGGGCGAAAGACUAAUCGAACCAUCUAGUAGCUGGUUACCGCCGAAGUUUCCCUCAGGAUAGCAGUGUUGUCUUCAGUUUUAUGAGGUAAAGCGAAUGAUUAGGGACUCGGGGGCGCUAUUUAGCCUUCAUCCAUUCUCAAACUUUAAAUAUGUAAGAAGCCCUUGUUGCUUAGUUGAACGUGGGCAUUCGAAUGCACCAACACUAGUGGGCCAUUUUUGGUAAGCAGAACUGGCG